AGUUUGAUUCUGGCUCAGAUUGAACGCUGGCAGGAUGCUUUACACAUGCAAGUCGAACGGCAGCACGGACUUCGGUCUGGUGGCAGGUGGCGAACGGGUGAGUAAUGUAUCGGAACGUGCCUAGUAGCGGGGGAUAACUACGCGAAAGCGUAGCUAAUACCAUACGCCCUUCGAGGAAAGCGGGGACCUUCGGGCCUCGCACUAUUAGAGCGGCCGAUAUCGGAUUAGCUAGUUGGUGGGGUAACGGCUCACCAAGGCGACGAUCCGUAGCUGGUUUGAGAAGGACGACCAGCCACACUGGGACUGAGACACGGCCCAGACUCCCACGGAGGCAGCAGUGGGAAUUUUGGACAAAAUGGGGGAAACCCUGAUCCAGCCAUCCCGCGUGUGCGAUGAAGGCCUUCGGGUUGUAAAGCACUUUUGGCAGGAAAGAAACAGCACGGGAUAAUACCCCGUGCAACUGACAGAUACCUGCAGAAUAAGCACCGGCUAACUACGUGCCAGCAGCCGCGGUAAUACGUAGGGUGCAAGCGUUAAUCGGAAUUACUGGGCGUAAAGCGUGCGCAGGCGGUUCGGAAGAAGAUGCAUGAAAUCCCAGAGCUUAACUUUGGAACUGCAUUUUUAACUACCGAGCUAGAGUGUGUCAGAGUGGAAUUCCGCGUGUAGCAGUGAAAUGCGUGAAUGCGGAGGAACACCGAUGGCGAAAGGAAGCAGCCUCCUGGGAUAACACCAGCGCUCAUGCGAAAGCGUGGGAGCAAACAGGAUUAGUGCUACCGGUCACGCCCUAAACGAUGUCAACUAGCUGUUGGGGCCUUCCGGGCCUUGGUAGCGCAACUAACGCGUGAAGUUGACCGCCUGGGAAGUACGGUCGCAAGAUUAAAACUCAAAGGAAUUGACGGGGACCGCACAAGCGGUGGAUGAUGUGGUUAAUUCGAUGCAACGCGAAAAACCUUACCUACCCUUGACAUAUCUGGAAUCCCGAAGAGAUUUGGGAGUGCUCUCGCAAGAGAACCGGAACACAGGUGCUGCAUGGCUGUCGUCAGCUCGUGUCGUGAGAUGUUGGUUAAGUCCACAACGAGCGCAACCCUUGUCAUUAGUUGCUACGAAAGGGCACUCUAAUGAGACUGCCGGUGACAAACCGGAGGAAGGUGGGGAUGACGUCAAGUCCUCGCGGCCCUUAUGGGUAGGGCUUUACACGUCAUACAAUGGUCGGGACAGAGGGUCGCCAACCCGCGAGGAGCCAAUCCCAGAAACCCGAUCGUAGUCCGGAUCGCAGUCUACCAUAUCGACUGCGUGAAGUCAGGAAUCGCUAGUAAUCGCGGAUCAGCAUGUCGCGGUGAAUACGUUCCGGGUCUUGUACACCGCCCGUCACACCAUGGGAGUGGGUUUUACCAGAAGUAGUUAGCCUAACCGUAAGGAGGGCGAUUACCACGGUAGGAUUCAUGACUGGGGUGGUAAACAACAAGGUAG
RNAcentral lists this ribosomal RNA (1470 nucleotides) under uncultured Bordetella sp. RNAcentral's name for it is "partial 16S-23S ribosomal RNA intergenic spacer". It matches the Rfam family "Bacterial small subunit ribosomal RNA". Lineage: Bacteria; Pseudomonadati; Pseudomonadota; Betaproteobacteria; Burkholderiales; Alcaligenaceae. The record is from RNAcentral.